Long non-coding RNA from Lycium ferocissimum, 1033 nucleotides. RefSeq lists it as uncharacterized. The transcript has 5 exons. NCBI's taxonomy places the organism in Eukaryota, Viridiplantae, Streptophyta, Magnoliopsida, Solanales, Solanaceae. The record is from RefSeq and is a predicted model, not a curated record.
CAACCCUACAUAACACGUGUGCGCCUCAAACAUCAAUGCGAAGCCAUGUUCUGCUAUUCUUCUCGCUUAGACCUCUGUAUGCCUUUUCAAUUUUAGACAAAUUCUUUCAGUCUCCCCUUUCUCGAGUUUUUGGUCAUUGACUUGUUGAGUGAUCCUGCAAUCUUUCUUUAUUGUUUGCACUACCUAUUGGUAAAAUUAGGAUUUGAUGUUUACUCUUUCAAUGUUUAUCCAUCUUUGCUCUAUUUGAAUAAAAUAUGGUGUGAACUCUCUGAUUUGAUAAGCUAUUUGUGCAAGUUUUCUUUGUUUAUUGCGCUUGUGCCGCGUUUUGGGUUGCCAUGCAUGUUCUUUGCGAAAAUCUCGUGAGAAAGCUGAGCAGAAGGAAAAAAUGUAGGCAAAAGGGAAUGGUUGGUAAAAGGAAGACUAAUUAAGACAUUGAAACUCUGAUAUGAUAAGGCUUCUAAUGAUAGUGUUUUCAGGGAUUUGCUUAUGUAUUACUAUAAUCAAUUUCAACAAUCACUAAUUGAGUUAUGCCGUAGUCUGCAACUUGGCACAGAGCCUACACAUCAACAAAAGCAUGAAUUGUGGAUUGCGACUGUUGGUGGCGCCACUAGGUUUGGCACAGCUUACGAAAUGUCAAAUCGAGCAUUUUGUCAAUUCCAAUCACCCCUGCAAGGCAUAGGUUCUUCCAAUUAGGGGUGGGCAUAAACACCGAAAAUCGAAAAAUCUAACCGAACCGAAUUAGUUCGGUUUUUCAGUUUCGGUUUUUCUGUUUUUCGGUUCGGUUAUCGGUUUUUUUUUAAAUAACAAAUUCGGUGUUCGGUUCAGGUUCACCGGUUCUUUGGUAUUCGGUUAAACCGAAAAUUUAGUAAAUAAUUUUUACACCCCUCACCCUCAGAUCACUCAGCCCACUCCACUUUCUCAGGCCCAACUUAAUAUAUCCAACUAUGAACUAUCCAAGCCCAUCCCUAACUGACCCAAAUUAGUAUACCAGCUAUCCAACUCCAACGGACCAACCCUAACUUCAUUUCCUCUC